AACUUUGAAAGGCCUGUACUCACCCCAAGUAGGGCGGGACACGUGUUAUCCUGUCUGAAUCUGGGAGGACCAUCUUCCAAGGCUAAAUACUACCUAGUGACCGAUAGUGUAUAAGUACCGUGAGGGAAAGGUGAAAAGAACCCCGUUGAGGGGAGUGAAAUAGAUCCUGAAACCGCAUGCUUACAAGCAGUCGGAGCGUAAAGUGACGGCGUGCCUUUUGCAUAAUGAGCUAGCGAGUUAAUGUGGCGUGCAAGAUUAAGGUAUUUAGUACCGUAGUCGUAGUGAGAGCGAGGCUUAAUAGGCCGUUCAGUACGUCGCAUUAGACCCGAAACCCAGUGAUCUAUCCAUGAGCAGGUUGAAGCUGGGGUAACACCUAGUGGAGGACCGAACCCGUUGAAGUUGAAAAUUCUUGGGAUGACUUGUGGAUCGGAGUGAAAGGCUAAUCAAACUGGGUGAUAGCUGGUUCUCCUCGAAAUAUAUUUAGGUAUAGCGUCUGAUGUUUCUUAACGGGGGUAAAGCACUGAUUGGGCUAGGGGUCUUACCAGAUUACCAAACCCACUCAAACUCUGAAUACCGUUACAGUUAAGUCAGGCAGUCAGUCUUAUGGUGAUAAGGUCGUAAGACGAAAGGGAAAGAGCCCAGACCAUCAGCUAAGGUCCCAAAGACUACACUAAGUGGAAAACGAUGUGGAAAUGCGUAGACAGUCAGGAGGUUGGCUUAGAAGCAGCCACCCUUUAAAGAAAGCGUAACAGCUCACUGAUCAAGUGUUUCUGCGCGGAAGAUUUAACGGGGCUUAAGUGUAGCACCGAAGCUAUGGACUCGAAAGAGUGGUAGAGGAGCAUUGUAGCAACCGCUGAAGGUGUCAGGUGACUGAUGCUGGAGGAACUACAAGCGCAUAUGCUAGCAUAAGUAGCGAUAAGGGGAGUGAGAAACUCCCCCGCCGGAAGCCCAAGGUUUCCUGGGACAGGGUAAUCCUCCCAGGGUUAGUCGGUACCUAAGGCGAGGCCGAAAGGCGUAGUCGAUGGACAACGGGUUAAUAUUCCCGUACCGAUAAGUGGAGUGAUGCAGGGGUGAAGAAGGGUAGCUGAUCCUGUUAUUGGAUUCAGGUGCAAGCGAGUAGGCUUAGAACUUAGGAAAAUCCGGGUUCUUUUAAGGCCGAGACGUGAUGCGGUGGACUUAGGUCCUGAAGUCAGUGAUCCCAUGCUUACGAGAAAAGCUGCUAAACUAUGAAACUUAUUGACCGUACUGCAAACCAACUCAGGUGGGCAGGAAGAGAAUUCCAAGGCGUUUGAGUGAAACAUUGUUAAGGAACUCGGCAAAUUAACACCGUAACUUCGGGAUAAGGUGUGCCAGCAGUGUGUAGGGAUUUACUCCUGAAGCAUAGUCUGGUUGCAGAGAAAUGGGGGUAGCGACUGUUUAUCAAAAACAUAGCACUACGCAAAAUCGUAAGAUGAAGUAUGUGGUGUGACGCCUGCCCGGUGCUGGAAGGUUAAGAGGAGGUGUUAGCGCAAGCGAAGCGUCGAAUUGAAGCCCCAGUAAACGGCGGCCGUAACUAUAACGGUCCUAAGGUAGCGAAAUUCCUUGUCGGGUAAGUUCCGACCUGCACGAAUGGCGUAACGACUUCCCCGCUGUCUCAACAAUGUGCUCAGCGAAUUUGAAAACGGUGUGCAGAUGCACCGUACCCGCAGCAAGACGGAAAGACCCCAUGAACCUUUACUAUAGCUUGACACUGUUAUUCGAAUUGUACUGUGUAGCAUAGGUGGGAGACUUUGAAGUGAUGACGCUAGUUGUCAUGGAGUCGUCGGUGAAAUACCACCCUGUGCAAUUUGGAUAUCUAACCUAGCACCCUUAUCGGGUGUGGGGACCGUGUCUGGUGGGUAGUUUGACUGGGGCGGUCGCCUCCCAAAGUGUAACGGAGGCGCGCAAAGGUUCGCUCAGACCGGAUGGAAAUCGGUCGUAGAGUGCAAAGGCAUAAGCGAGCUUAACUGCGAGAUUGACAGAUCAAGCAGAUACGAAAGUAGGCCUUAGUGACCCGGUGGCUCCGUAUGGAAGGGCCAUCGCUCAACGGAUAAAAGGUACUCUGGGGAUAACAGGCUGAUCUCCUCCAAGAGUUCACAUCGACGAGGAGGUUUGGCACCUCGAUGUCGGCUCAUCACAUCCUGGGGCUGAAGCAGGUCCCAAGGGUUUGGCUGUUCGCCAAUUAAAGUGGUACGCGAGCUGGGUUCAGAACGUCGUGAGACAGUUCGGUCCCUAUCUGCUGUGGGCGUAGGAAAUUUGACAGGAUCUGACCCUAGUACGAGAGGACCGGGUUGGACACACCUCUAGUGUACCAGUUGUUCUGCCAUGAGCAUCGCUGGGUAGCCACGUGUGGAAGGGAUAACCGCUGAAAGCAUCUAAGUGGGAAGCCUACCUGAAGAUUAGAUUUCCCUGGCUUUUGCCCUAAAGGUCCGUUCAAGACUAGGACGUUGAUAGGUUGGAGGUGGAAGUGUAGUAAUACAUGGAGCUGACCAAUACUAAUUGACCGUGAGGCUUAUUUAG
This 2538-nucleotide ribosomal RNA is filed under the name bacterium. RNAcentral describes it as "partial 23S ribosomal RNA". It matches the Rfam family "Bacterial large subunit ribosomal RNA", at positions 384 to 2925 of the family's 2925-position model. The record is from RNAcentral.